RNAcentral lists this ribosomal RNA (480 nucleotides) under uncultured bacterium. Its description in RNAcentral is "bacterial SSU rRNA". It matches the Rfam family "Bacterial small subunit ribosomal RNA", at positions 30 to 509 of the family's 1533-position model. The record is from RNAcentral.
AUUGAACGCUGGCGGCAUGCCUUACACAUGCAAGUCGAACGGCAGCACGGGAGCAAUCCUGGUGGCGAGUGGCGAACGGGUGAGUAAUAUAUCGGAACGUGCCCAGUCGUGGGGGAUAACGUAGCGAAAGCUACGCUAAUACCGCAUACGAUCUACGGAUGAAAGCGGGGGAUCGCAAGACCUCGCGCGAUUGGAGCGGCCGAUAUCAGAUUAGCUAGUUGGUGGGGUAAAAGCUCACCAAGGCGACGAUCUGUAGCUGGUCUGAGAGGACGACCAGCCACACUGGAACUGAGACACGGUCCAGACUCCUACGGGAGGCAGCAGUGGGGAAUUUUGGACAAUGGGCGCAAGCCUGAUCCAGCAAUGCCGCGUGCAGGAUGAAGGCCUUCGGUGUAACUGCUUUGUACGUACGAACGGUAGAGUCUAAUAAGACUUGCUAAUGACGGUACCGUAAGAAUAAGCACCGGCUAACUACGUGCC